AAUAAUAAUAAUAAUUAAAGCUGCAAGCAGCGAUAUGAGGGCCCUCGCACCCCCGGCGCGUCGAGCCAAGCCCAACACCUAAAACCAGCGCUUCCGAUCUGAUGUCACAUUGAUGGAAUUCAUGCAUUUAACCACCAGCUAAAAUUUCAUCUCAUUCAACCAUUAUUAUAGUCGUCCCACUAGGUGGCGCUCUAACCAUUACUGACAAAUGGUAUAACAAACAUUUCCGAGCUUGAGUCUCAUCACGCCUGCGACCUUUGGGAGAGAUUGGACAUUGUGUUUUUGAGCGACAGCAGGUUACUGCUUUUUGGCAAGUGAUUGAAACUCCACGUGCCGCCAUGACCACCCCGUUUCCCUGAACGUAAAAAGCUUCGCAAUUUAACAUCACAAAGGUCUUUAGAUUCCACACACAGGAGAUCGCGUAAAUCUAAUGAAAUCCCUUGGAGGAGUUCGUCAAAGUAUGAGGCCUGAAAAGAGGGGAAAAUGUCGCCAAAUUUACACAUUAAUUUUAAAAUGGCUGACUUCCUGUUGGAUUUGGGAUAUUGCUCCAAGAGACUUUUUUGUACAUCUUGAUAUCUCCAAUAAGCUUGCCAGGUUUCAAACUCAUACAUAAAACACAGAGCAGGGGCUGUUGUUUUGAAAUUUUGUAGGGGGCGCUGUGGAGCCAUUUUGCGCUGUUCAAGGAAAAUGAACAUAUAAAAAGAAAUCCCUCAUCACAUUAGAGGUGUGCGCCAAAUUUCAAGACUUUUUAAACUUUUCAAGCCCCUCAAAAGCCACUUCAUCUUUCAUGGUGAACUGCGUUGCCACCAGGGUGCGCCGUUCAGUUUAUAGUCACAAUUUUCU
Molecule: long non-coding RNA, 843 nt
Organism: Oreochromis aureus
Lineage: Eukaryota; Metazoa; Chordata; Actinopteri; Cichliformes; Cichlidae
Source: Ensembl